Long non-coding RNA from Alligator mississippiensis (American alligator), 3145 nucleotides. RefSeq lists it as uncharacterized. NCBI's taxonomy places the organism in Eukaryota, Metazoa, Chordata, Crocodylia, Alligatoridae. The record is from RefSeq and is a predicted model, not a curated record. The transcript has 2 exons.
UGGCACUGGGUAGCCUCCUUGGGAGGGAAGGUGACUUCCCCUAACCCAGCUCGGCUCUGGGAAAACCUCCCUCCAGCUCAUGUCAUUUUGCAUCUAUAAGGAUCAAGUGAAAUGUCUCGCGUCUGUCACCGAGAGGGGCCGGGGGGUUCGUUUAUCUUUACGUUCAAUCUGGGACAUAUUAACUGCUCCGGGCUCUCAAAUCUCCCUGCUCUGCCUCUUCCAACCGGGAUUGAAUGGAUCUGUCGAGAGUUUCAACGCUGGAUAUGAAAUGAAGAGAAAAGAGGGGGAAUGGCUGGAGGGCGUGGGCAGAGCUGCGGGCAUCUCCCGGCCCCCAGAGUCCCCCCAGCCCGGCUCCUUGCCUAUCAUGGGGGCAUCUGUGGUUGGCAGGAGGGAUCGGUACCAUUCUCAGGCCCGUGGGGGGCGGGUUGGAGUCAGCCCGGCUCCGAUCGGCAGGCCCCACCUCUGUAAGCAGGUACCCGGGCUGAAACGACCGAAAUAUUUUCAACCCACCCAGCCGGGGCUUCUGCUCGCUGGGGAGCCUCUUCUCGGGGCAGCCCCUGUGGUCGGGGCUGUGCGCGCCGGGCUGCAGGGAGAGCUUUGAAAAUGUAAUAGCAAGUGGGGAGAGAAGGGCUAAGCGAUGCAGUAAGCGACGGUCUGGGCAGGGCGCCGAUGAGCGGCUGGGCUUUCGUUAGGCAAUAGCGCUCCAGAAAUGUGCUCCGUGAAGGCGGCCACCUCGGCCGGUCCAGCUGCGGCUGCGAUAGACCGGAACAGCGCCUGCUCUGUGCUCAGUCGCCGACAGCGCGUCUGCCGGGGGAGCUGGAUGCGAGCGGGAUCUGUCCCGAUUCCCAGCCACAGGGACCCCAGGAGGUCCAUCCAGGGCCAAGAGCUGGUCUCCCUAAUCUGCGUGUCCAAUUGCACCCGGAUCCAGCUUCUCUGUGCUGGGUCCAAAUCAGCCGAGCAGGGAAGAGUCCCGGGGUUUAAUGCGUGCGCUGCUACAUUUUGCGUUUCUAGAGAUUAGCAGGCACCAGAUUAAGCACAGCAGUUAAAUUCCCUGGGCCUUCUGGACCGGUUCCCUCCCUGCCCGGCCCCUGGCUUUGCAGCCUGACAUUUUUUUUUCUUUUUUCUUUUCUUUUCUUUUCUUUUCUUUUCUAAAGUGAGCACAUUUAUAUUUGCAGAGCAACCUGCGGUCCAUGUGCCCGCGAGGUGAGGGUCUGGAGGGGGCUGCUCCAGCGAGGAGAAACAAUAAAGGAAACAUCCCUUUGUGACGUGUCGCUGCCGAACCUUCUAUUUCCCGACGUUCCAGGCGCCUCAAGCUCCGGCGCGCGGGGUGAUGAUUAACUCCAUGCGGGGCCAUGACACACUUACACCUCUUAGAAAAUACUGCUGGGGGACCCCACGCAAGGCGAUUGCCACCCGUUCACCAGAGCCUUGGAUCAAGACCCCAGCCGUGGGCCAGCAGUACCCGGGAUGGCUCUGGGGAGCAAAAGUGCCUCCAGCCUCCGGAGAGCCCGAGCCUGAGAGCCUGGGAGGUGCGACAUUCAGCAGGUCGGCGCCCGAAAGAGCCCAGUCUGCUGCAGCUCGGGUCUGUGAUGCACACUCAGCCCGGCUCUGCACAGCAGCAAGGCUCUCCCAUUGCCCAGAUCAGACGCUCAUUGUAGCUUAGCCCCGUGUUGGUUUCAGAUGUUGCUGCCAAGAUACCCCGGGAGAGGCAGCCUGACGCCGGGAGAGCAGUUGGCAUUCAGGGCACCGUAAAACGCUGGGAGGUUGUAUCGUCUGAGUCGGCAGUGAACUGGGUGUCACACACACACACACACACACACACACACACACACGCUCAUUGCACACACAUUACAGACACACCCAGUCAUUACAUGCUCAUUACACACACGCCCAUUACACACACAUCACACACACGCUCAUUACACACGCUCAUUACAAACACAGUCAUUACACACACAUUACACAGACACACACAUUCAUCAUUACACACACUUAUUACACAGACACACACUCAUUACACACACAUAUUGCACACACAUUCUCUGACUGAUUUUAAUAAGCAUACAGGACCCGGCCUGUAUCCAAGGAUUGUCUUGUCCUCUCAUGUCUGAUGUAUUUGGGAUAAUGGUUUUCCUUAGUGUCACUGUCCCUCUGGCCGGCGCCAGCCCGGUCUGCAGGACAAUCAGCCGUAUUACCCCAACAGCGGAGAAGAAGAGCUGCCUCCAGACAAGACCGGAGCGCGGAGCAAACACACGCGCCGGGGCUUCCGAACAGCUUUUCAGGCUCAUGCCUAUCUCGGGGAAUUGAUUCCCAGCACUAAAAAGCACGACCCUCCCCCCCCCCCACCCCGCGUGGAAAUCACAAAUAUACCGUGGGCCGUGUGUUAUAGCGUUCACUUCGCGACACUCAUUUGGAAUGAGACGGCCGCCAAGUAUGAAUCGUUUUAAAGAAAACCUCCAGCCUUGAAUAUGACGCUGCCCCUUACAUUUAUUGUUUAUUUUUGGGCAAAGUGAUUAAAAACACCCCCUCUAGCUUUUUCAUGACUCUGCUCACCAAAACAUGAAAUAAGGACUGAGGAAACUUCAGGCUUAGCUUUGUUAUUCCUUUCUUAGAAAUUUAGGACAUAGUUUCACCAUUGUCUUAAACAAAACAAAGCAAAACAAAAAAUCCCAAAAAACUAAAAAAAACGAAAACUCGUAGGGAAUGAAAUAAGGUAGUCUGAAAUGGAGAUGCUUUAGGGGAGAGGCACUAAUAGGUAAUAUUUAGACUUGAGAGUUGGGGAUUGUAGCAGUCGUCUCCCAAGACUCUGGGACCUGGGGUCCCAAUGAAGACAGCGCAGCAAAAUUGGGAGCCCUUAGCGCGGCUGUAAACGGCGAUGGGAAGCAAAGCCAGUGUUUUUAUGGUAACCCUCGGUCUGUAGUCAGGGCUUGUUCUCAUAUUACAUGAAAUGUACUUUAAGGAGCACUACCUGCUCCAGCUGUCCAGGAAAAACUGAAUUAUGGAACUAGGAAACAUAUGGCAGUUGCAUAUUGCUCAAGGAAGGUACAUAUGAAAGUUAUAAAUUUCUUUUUUAAGUAACCAUUGUAAACGCAUUUUUAUAGGUUUCACAGUAUGUAUUACAUCUGUCAUUUUAACUUUUGCAAUA